GGGGGAGAAUGGGCAUCCCACCCCAGCACUUUCUAGGAAGGAGGGCAGCAUUUUGAAGGGCUGGAAGUAGAGGAAGGAGGUUGCGGGUAGAAGACUCCAUACUUUCUGUGAUGCCUAUUCCUUAGCUUGAGAUGAAUGUUUUCUCAGUAUCCUAUGCUGAAAACAGGUAGAUACUAAUAUCGAUCUUCAAGGGAGGGCUGUUGAGUUUUGAAUAAGACAAAAACAUGGAAGCAAUCAGCACCAUGCUGGAGAGCCUUUAUAUAACCAAAGAUAUUUUUGGACCAUGAAUUCGGAAAUUCUCGGAGCCACCCAUCAGUGCCUGAGCUUCAGUGAGUCCAUAUCCCAUGUCACCCACGGCAAAGGAGAAUCUAAGACUUCUGAAGAGUUUCUUGCUUCUUUCCUGUGGGGCAGUGACUCCACUUCCCAGCAGUAAUGGAAUAUCCUGAAUUAGCUACAUUAAUGUUAGAACCAUUUGGACCUCACCCAGGACUUCAACUACAUUAUGCUAAAGUUACAGAACCCAAAUUUGGCAACUGUCUGCAUCUGAACAACAGAAGUUUCAACAUUCUGCCAACAGAGUAACUCCUGGACGAUUGGCACAGAAGGCACAAGGUUCUAGUAUGUUAGGUUUAUGUUCCCCUGCUUUCUACAAUCCUGUUCAAAGAGUUGCUGACUUAACCACAGAGAGGAUUCCAGAACAUGAGACACAGAAUAAACUUGAGCAAUCAUAGUCCAUCCACUUCAUUUUCUCAUCAAAAACCAAAGGUCCAGUGAAGCUCUGGAACUCAACGCUGUAAAGGAGCGAAGGAGCUUCUAUACAGAGCCUGGAUGCCUGUCUCCUUAUCCUA
RNAcentral lists this non-coding RNA (848 nucleotides) under Pan troglodytes (chimpanzee). The record is from RNAcentral. Lineage: Eukaryota; Metazoa; Chordata; Mammalia; Primates; Hominidae.